This is a long non-coding RNA of Magnolia sinica, 1666 nucleotides long. RefSeq lists it as uncharacterized. The record is from RefSeq and is a predicted model, not a curated record. The transcript is spliced from 6 exons. Lineage: Eukaryota; Viridiplantae; Streptophyta; Magnoliopsida; Magnoliales; Magnoliaceae.
GUUAUGCCAGUUGUUGUAGUUUUUCUGCUCAGCAUUGUUGCUCUAGCGUGGUGGUGCAGCCACAGUUAGAAUUUUGCACCUUCCCUCGUAAAGUCCCUUUCAUUGGAGCAUACAAUGCACAUUGUUCUCUGUUGAACUCAACAAAUCAGGAAAAGAUUAAACUCAACAAACAGCUCCCUUAGUCGGCAACAUCAUUAAGGUUAUUUGCAAAUACUGUACCGAGUGAGAAGGAUCCUCUGCUUGGAGUGAAUUUGGAGAAAAAUGUGGCUUUAAAGCAGGAUGCAGCCCACGGUAGCAUUUCAAAUCCCAACUGUGUAAUGCUUGCACAAAAUUCUAUGUCCAGCAGAGCAUGACAGGCUGUCUAAUUGAUGAGGACUCAAUUGAGGAAUAUGAAAAGGUGGCAAAGGAAAAGAGGAAGGAGAAAUUGGAGCAACAGGAAGGAGUGGAGUUAAAUUUUCUCAGCAAACUUGGUCAUGUCCAAAAGAUUGAGAUUCUGAAUGGCAUUGCUGACAUGAAGAAUGAACUCAGGUCCUUCAUGUUAUUUAGAGUGUAGGCUCGAAAAGAGGUUCACAAUGCUUCACCGGGGAGUUUACAUGGGUCCAUGAUCAAAGCUGCCCAACAGGUGCAGGUGCAGGUCACAAUCCCGCCUUCCCUACCCAAAAUUCAGGUGAAGUUUGCUAAGCCCACACAUGGGUAGAGCCUUCUGCAACAACAUAUAGCUGCAUGUACCAAUAUAACAUAAGGUUUGAGGCACCUAUGGAUCUAAAGAAAGAGUGGGAAAGAUUAAUAUUUGAACAAAAGUAUGGGGAAGCAUUCACUUGAACCCAUGAAUUGUUGGAUGUUUAUUUGGUUUUUAGAUAAUGUAGAUUUUUCUUAGUUUUUCAGAGUUUAUAAUUGAGAAGAUAAGCAUGUGCUCUUGAAGUAUUGUCUCUCUCUCUCUCUCUCUCUCUCUCUCUCUCUCUCUCUCUUUUAUGACAUCUCAUCCUUAUCUUUUUCUAUAUUUUUAGUUCUUCAAUUUUGCUGCAUAACUUUUCUGUAUGAUGAUAUUCGUUGUAGGAAGCUAUUCGUUGGGGUACUGAUUAUCUUCUCAAAGCUACUGCUCAUCCAAACACCAUAUAUGUGCAGGCUUCUUUUUCUUUUUCUCUAAUUCUUUUUUGGGUUGGAUUUGCUUUCUUUUUCUUUUUCCUCAUGUGGGAUCUCUGUUUCUUUUCAGAAAAAAGCUGUUUAAUUUGUAUUUUCCAUUUGUUUGGGAUUUUUUUAUUUUUUAUUUUUGGAUUUCUUUGCUGGGUUUUUCCAGCCGUUAUUGGAAUGUUGGUUUCUGGUUCUUAUAACGUUUUGGAGUUUUUUUUAGAAGAAAAGAGGAAUAAGAGACAAAAAGCUGGUUUUUUUUUUUUUUUUUUGGUUGUUGAAGAUUUUAAGCAAUGAAAAUGGUUUUUGGGAUUUUUAGAGGGCUUGAAAGAAAGAGAAGCAGAGAAAACAGAGCAAUGUGAGUUUUUAUUUUUGGUUACAAGUGGGUGAUGCUAACAAGGAUUAUGCAUGUUGAACACAAUGAAGUCAGGAAACACACAUGCUGUAGUUAUAUAACACAUGCACAGAUCGACACAUCACAUUUUGAUGCAACUUGGUUAUCAAGGCAAUGGUUAAUCACAUUUUGAUGCAGUUUGGU